This 1112-nucleotide long non-coding RNA is filed under the name Monodelphis domestica (gray short-tailed opossum). RNAcentral describes it as "lncRNA (ENSMODG00000042184.1)". The record is from RNAcentral. Lineage: Eukaryota; Metazoa; Chordata; Mammalia; Didelphimorphia; Didelphidae.
CAGUCUUGGAGUGGUGCCUAGAGGCAUAUAGCUGAUCCCCUUGUCCCUAGUCACUGUCCAAGAGAAGAUUUUCCCUGAAGAAAUCAAUUCAUUCCCAGGGACAGCAGAAGACUUGAACCUCUCUCCCCCAGCUUCUGGAUGAGUGGGGUACCUGGGAAACAAGACACACGGCUCAGCUUUGGUCUUCUCAAUAGUUGGUGCUUGAGGGUGAGUGGCAACAGCUGGGAUAAGGAGAUUCCCAUCUGAAGUCUUUUGCAGGCAAUCUAGAGCUUUUCUUGAGUCUGAUAGGGUAAUUUGGUUCCAGGGUCUCACUUAUAGAGGCAUCUCUUAGAGAGAAGAGUUAGUGCCCUGGCUUUGAUGGGGAUAGUAGAGCAGGGCUUGGAGAGGGAGAGAAGGGAAACUAGCAUCCCAGAAUUCUGAGUCAAUUGUCCUAUUUCCCUGGUCAAAGCUUGCAGAAAGUCCUUUGGACCAGUUCUGCUACUAGCUCCAUGUGUGGUAUUAAGCAAGAGAGUUUCCACAUCUGGAAAAUGAGGUCAUGAGAUGAGAUGCUAACCGAGGUUCCUCUUAUGAAGGUUAAAAGGGACUUUAGAGGCUAUCUCCUCCAUUCCCCUUUAUUUACAGAUAAAAGCAGUGAAGGCCCAAUUGAAAAAGGUGGCAGAGAUUCAGGGAGCCAGAGAAGAUGCCGGAGAGAACUCAGGUUCCUGGCUUUGAUGUCCAGAGUGUUCUUCCUAACUGGAAAGGUUGGAGGAUCUUGGACUGGGACUGUGGCUUGGAGCUAUGACUUGGACCUGGGACUCUGGAUCUUGGACUGCUUCUGGUAAGACUACUCCUGGAACUUCUCCUUUGGAGCUUCAACUUGGGUGAGUGAAAAGCUGACCUUCCUUUCCUGGCUUCUGAAGAGAUUAGUUUCCGAGAGGCCUUCCCUUGCUUAAUUCACCAUUGAGCCCUCCGGCUGAAGCGUUAAUGAGCCCUGCAUGGGUUGAGCCAGAACCAGAGCAACAUUUAUGGUGAUAAACUAGACUUCUUACUCUACCCUCUUUUGUAUUUCUCUACUUUUAUUCUUUCUACCUCUUUGUAAAUAAAACUAUUGAAAGUCAAUUUGACUUGAGCCA